This 1986-nucleotide long non-coding RNA is filed under the name Homo sapiens (human). RNAcentral describes it as "HSALNT0109298". The record is from RNAcentral. Lineage: Eukaryota; Metazoa; Chordata; Mammalia; Primates; Hominidae.
GGUGUAAUCAAUGUGGAAAGACUAAGGAAGAAAAACACAAAGCCAAAUUCAUAACUGUCCUGAAGCCUUAAACUGCUCACAGGGGAAACCAUUACCCAAGAUUACAAGAACCCAGGGUGCUGAUUACAUCUCAUGGCACUCCAGAUAGAACCCUCAUUUUAGGGUCCUGUGGGAGCAAAUGGCACAGCCCAGACGACAGAGAUGGCUGACCAGGCACAAACCAAGGCAGCUGCACCAUUGUUUCACCCUGGUGCCUCGGUGAGUCAAGUUCCUACAUAGGAUAAGUCCCCAUUCCCUUUUUCUUUCUCUCUCUCUAUUUUUCUUGCCCUAUUCUCUCUCUUUCUCUUUGCUCCUAUGUUUGGUGAUCUCUCUUGAUGUCUAUACUGGAAGAUUACAAGAACCCAGGGCACUGAUAACAACUUCAACUGAAAUGGACAGAGUGAGGGCAAGAUAAAUGAAGGCUAUCAGACUCCCAAAAUUCUACAUGCAGAAAAAAAGGCUGAUAAAACUACUCAGCUAAAAACACAUUGUACCUUUCAAGAAAAAGAAAAGAUGAUUCCAAGAGUGGAGCUUCAGGCCCAGAGAAUGUAGCCAGAAGUCACAAAAGACUAUUUCCAGGCCUUGCAGCUUAACAGUUUUCCCAGUUUGAAGGAUUUGUUAUUUUGGGGACUGAUGAUUCAUUUUUUCCUUCCAUUUUCUCCUUUUUGGAAUGGGAAUACGGUUGAUCCUUGAACAACAUAGGGUUGAACUGCACGUGUCCACUUGUAUGCAGAUUUUUUUUCAACCAAAUGGGGAUUGAAAAUACAGUAUUCUUGGGAUGCGAAACCCACCUAUACGGAGAGCUAAUUUUCAUAUACACGGGUUCUGCAGGACCUACUGUGGAACUUAAGUAUGCUAGGAUUUUGGUGUAUACAGGGGGCCUGGAACCAAUCCCCUGCAUAUACUGAAAGACAACUAUUAGUAACUAGUAUCUUAUGUCGGUCACAUCAUUGUAUUUUGGGAGAAAAUAACUUAUUUUCUAGUUUUACAGGUCCACAGAUGGAGAGUUUUUCCCCAGGAUGAAUCAUACCCAGGAUCUCACUAAUACUGAAAUUAGAUGGUUAAGAUAAUAAGAUUUGGGACUUUUAAGCUGAUAAGAUUUAGGUAAUACAUGUGACUUUGAAUUGAUUCUAUAAUGAAUUGAGACUGUGGAGUAUAUUGGGAUGGGGUGUAUGUAUUGUGCAUAUAGAAUGGAUAUAAACCUUUGGGGCCAAAGGGAAGACUAGCAGGCUAAUGGUUCCCCAAGCAUGUCCACAUCCUAAUCCCUGAAACCUGUCAAUAUGUAGCCUUAUGUGGCAAAAGGCACACACUUUACAGAUGUGAUUAAAUGAAGGAUCUCAAGAUGGGGAGAUCAUCUUAGGUAACCCAAUGUAAUCACAAAGGUCCUUAUAAGAGAGAAGCAGGAUGGUUAAAGACAGAGAUGUAAAGUGGAAGAAGAGGAGCCACAGAGUGGGAGCAACCCCUGGAAGAUAGAAAAGGCAAGAAAACUGAUUAAUCCUGAGAGCCUCCAGAUGGAAUGCUGCUGUGCUAACACCUUGAUUUUAGCCCACUGAAACUGAUUUUAGACUUGUCUACUCUAGAACUGGAAGAGAAUAAAUUUGUGUUGCUCUAAGUCACUAAAUUUGUGGUAAUUCGUUACAACAGCAGUAGGAAACAAACUCAGGAACCAACAUGAGCAUGAAGCAUAUGUGGCCUGCUGUGCUGUAAUGAAGAUUUUUGUCUCUGACCCAAGACUCUUGUGUCUUCUGGCAGCAUCCAUGAGACUAUGGCAAGCUGAUUUGCAGAAGGGGCAAAAUCUUGGACCAUUCACAGUUCUUAACAUUUAGUUCAUAAAAAUGAUGAUAUAGUCAUGGGUAUUUGUCUGACGUUUAAGUAUCUUUCAAUCUUCUGAUCAAUAAAUCUACUUCUAAAUAAGAUACCACUUAAGUAGCUGUGAACUUUAAUAAU